Sapajus apella (tufted capuchin) is the source of this 622-nucleotide long non-coding RNA. RefSeq lists it as uncharacterized. The record is from RefSeq and is a predicted model, not a curated record. The transcript has 4 exons. NCBI's taxonomy places the organism in Eukaryota, Metazoa, Chordata, Mammalia, Primates, Cebidae.
AAAUGCAAUGUAAACAAUAAAUACAAAACUUCAAAAUAUAGAGACAAAGAAAUAAAAGUGAAUUCUGAUAAUUCCAUUAGUAAGAUAACCGCAAAAUACCUAAAAAACAAAGUCAAAUUCAGGUAUUUUCAGAAUAUCUACACUUAAGACAGAUAUGAUCCCUGCAUGUGUAUCAUCAGCAUCACCUAAAAAAUUUUUGGUUUUUUGAGACAAGGUCUUGCUUUGUCACCUAGGCUGGAAUGAUCAUGGAUCACUGCAGCCUUGACCUCCCAGGCUCAAGUGAUGUUCUUACAUCAGUCUCUAAGUAGCUGGGACUACAGGCACAUGCCACCACACAUGGCUAAUGGGAAACUGUUAGAAAUGCAAAUGCUCAGGCCCCACCCCAGACCUACAGACUCUGGGAACAGGACUCAGUCACUGGUAUUUUGACAAGCUAUCUAGGUGAUUCUGACAUACACUUAAGUCUGAAAAACAGAGCUUCAAGGUUAAGAAAACAAAAAGAGUUUGUAUAAAGCUCAGUAGGGGCCAAAUGAAUGAAACACUAAACAAAAUAGAUAAGCAGGUUAUGGCUUGACUUUUAUUAAAACAACACAAAAUGAAAAAGUAAUCUACUCCCUACAAA